CCGGGUACUGUAUUUGACGAUCUUUCUAUGUCACCUCCACUGCGCUGCCUAGUUUGCUAUUUGAACAAGGUGCAAUAUGUUAUGGAAUGUGGACAUGCAUUCUGCACGACUUGUACAGCUACCUUCUUCAAUGUCCAAGUUGCUUAGUGUGCAAUGUGUAGAGCAGAACUGCACGGUGAAUCUCUCCCUCUGUACCUUUAGGUUACGAUGUUCGGCCUCCAUCACCACCUCAAAUUGUUCAGAAUAGCACUCCUCCGGCUUUUCAAUUUCCCCCAAUUCCAGAAAAAAAUAGAAUAUUAUUUGCUGAGUUAGGCAAUGAGGAUGAUUUGGAUCGGAUCGUCGAACGUCGUUGGGGACCAACGAUUCCGACCACUUUAUUCGACGAUCUUUCUACGUCUGCAAUGAGUUCCCUAGUUUGCUAUAUGAAUAAGGUGCAAUAUGUUAUGGUAUAUGUGGGCAUGCAUUCUGCAUGACUUGUACAGCUACCUUACUUAAUGUCCAAGCUGCUAAGUGUUGAAUAUGUACAGCAGAACUGCACGGUGAACCUAUCCC
Molecule: long non-coding RNA, 552 nt
Organism: Sitophilus oryzae (rice weevil)
Lineage: Eukaryota; Metazoa; Arthropoda; Insecta; Coleoptera; Curculionidae
Exons: 3
Source: RefSeq, a predicted model, not a curated record